GACGAACGCUGGCGGCGUGCCUAAUACAUGCAAGUCGAGCGAGCGAAACUAACAGAUUUACUUCGGUAAUGACGUUAGGAAAGCGAGCGGCGGAUGGGUGAGUAACACGUGGGGAACCUGCCCCAUAGUCUGGGAUACCACUUGGAAACAGGUGCUAAUACCGGAUAAGAAAGCAGAUCGCAUGAUCAGCUUUUAAAAGGCGGCGUAAGCUGUCGCUAUGGGAUGGCCCCGCGGUGCAUUAGCUAGUUGGUAAGGUAAAGGCUUACCAAGGCGAUGAUGCAUAGCCGAGUUGAGAGACUGAUCGGCCACAUUGGGACUGAGACACGGCCCAAACUCCUACGGGAGGCAGCAGUAGGGAAUCUUCCACAAUGGACGCAAGUCUGAUGGAGCAACGCCGCGUGAGUGAAGAAGGUUUUCGGAUCGUAAAGCUCUGUUGUUGGUGAAGAAGGAUAGAGGUAGUAACUGGCCUUUAUUUGACGGUAAUCAACCAGAAAGUCACGGCUAACUACGU
RNAcentral lists this ribosomal RNA (511 nucleotides) under uncultured bacterium. RNAcentral describes it as "partial 16S ribosomal RNA". It matches the Rfam family "Bacterial small subunit ribosomal RNA", at positions 28 to 506 of the family's 1533-position model. The record is from RNAcentral.